This 300-nucleotide ribosomal RNA is filed under the name uncultured bacterium. RNAcentral's name for it is "bacterial SSU rRNA". It matches the Rfam family "Bacterial small subunit ribosomal RNA", at positions 161 to 460 of the family's 1533-position model. The record is from RNAcentral.
GCGUAAGAACCUACCAAAAAUUCUUGGAGAUCAGGAAUAAAGAAAGAUAUGUGUAUCGUUUUUGAUGGGCUUGCGUAAGAUUAGAUUGUUGGUGGGGAAAUGGCUCACCAAGUCGAUGAUCUUUUACUGGUCUUAGCGGAUGGCCAGUCACACUGGGACUGAGAUACGGCCCAGACUCUCUUUGGAGGCAGCAGUGAGGAAUCUUGGACAAUGGGCGCAAGCUUGAUCCAGCUAUUUCGCGUGGGUGAUGAAGGUUAUUUGGAUCGUAAAACCCUUUCAUGAAGAUGAUUAAAUAAUGCC